This 301-nucleotide ribosomal RNA is filed under the name uncultured bacterium. Its description in RNAcentral is "partial 16S ribosomal RNA". It matches the Rfam family "Bacterial small subunit ribosomal RNA", at positions 509 to 807 of the family's 1533-position model. The record is from RNAcentral.
CAGUCGCCACGGUAAUACGUAGGUGGCAAGCGUUGUCCGGAUUUAUUGGGCGUAAAGCGAGCGCAGGCGGUUUCUUAAGUCUGAUGUGAAAGCCCCCGGCUCAACCGGGGAGGGUCAUUGGAAACUGGGAAACUUGAGUGCAGAAGAGGAGAGUGGAAUUCCAUGUGUAGCGGUGAAAUGCGUAGAUAUAUGGAGGAACACCAGUGGCGAAGGCGGCUCUCUGGUCUGUAACUGACGCUGAGGCUCGAAAGCGUGGGGAGCAAACAGGAUUAGAUACCCGGGUAGUCCCUGUCUCUUAUAC